AAAGCGAGCGCAGGCGGUUUGAUAAGUCUGAAGUUAAAGGCUGUGGCUCAACCAUAGUUCGCUUUGGAAACUGUCAAACUUGAGUGCAGAAGGGGAGAGUGGAAUUCCAUUUAGCGGUGAAAUGCGUAGAUAUAUGGAGGAACACCGGUGGCGAAAGCGGCUCUCUGGUCUGUAACUGACGCUGAGGCUCGAAAGCGUGGGGAGCGAACAGGAUUAGAUACCCUGGUAGUCCACGCCGUAAACGAUGAGUGCUAGGUGUUGGAUCCUUUCCGGGAUUCAGUGCCGCAGCUAACGCAUUAAGCACUCCGCCUGGGGAGUACGACCGCAAGGUUGAAACUCAAAGGAAUUGACGGGG
RNAcentral lists this ribosomal RNA (355 nucleotides) under uncultured bacterium. Its description in RNAcentral is "bacterial SSU rRNA". It matches the Rfam family "Bacterial small subunit ribosomal RNA", at positions 562 to 918 of the family's 1533-position model. The record is from RNAcentral.